UCAGUUGUUCAAUUUCUAUAGAAUUGAAUGCAUACUGCAAUUUCAAAGGUUAUCCAGGCAAUCCACAGAUUUAUAGAUAUACAUAUCAAUAUAAAGAUUACGUGACACAAGCGAAUCAAAGACAAGUUCUUCUUUCAAAAAUGAUAUCAUGUUUUCUAUUAUUAAAAUACUUGUGUUGGUAAAUACAUAAAAAAAAACAUGGACAUUAAAUAUGACUUAUCAGUGUAAUACAUUACUAGUAACCUGGCUUUGUUUCCUUGUUAUGUAGGACAUUAAACAUGUAUUUUCUUGGAAAUAAGUGGGGGAAAGAACAAUGUUUUUAUUUACAAACUGGAUCGUAUCCUGUUCUUUGUUAGAUAUUUGUUUGACAACUGAACUCCAUUAAACAUAUAAUAUGAUAUUUAAUCCUACAAAAGAGCAGAAAACAGCUCAAGGCCACCAAUGGGUCUUCGUCGCAGCGAGAAAAUCCCACAUCCGGAGGCUGACUUUAGCUGGUCCGUUCUUUCAAUCUAAU
Molecule: long non-coding RNA, 514 nt
Filed under: Mytilus galloprovincialis (Mediterranean mussel)
Lineage: Eukaryota; Metazoa; Mollusca; Bivalvia; Mytilida; Mytilidae
Source: RNAcentral